This 465-nucleotide ribosomal RNA is filed under the name uncultured bacterium. RNAcentral's name for it is "partial 16S ribosomal RNA". It matches the Rfam family "Bacterial small subunit ribosomal RNA", at positions 28 to 507 of the family's 1533-position model. The record is from RNAcentral.
GACGAACGCUGGCGGCGUGCUUAACACAUGCAAGUCGAACGGAAAGGCCCUGCUUGCAGGGUAUUCGAGUGGCGAACGGGUGAGUAACACGUGGGUGAUCUGCCCUGCACUUCGGGAUAAGCCUGGGAAACUGGGUCUAAUACCGGAUAGGAGCCAUUUUUAGUGUGAUGGUUGGAAAGUUUUUUCGGUGUAGGAUGAGCUCGCGGCCUAUCAGCUUGUUGGUGGGGUAAUGGCCUACCAAGGCGGCGACGGGUAGCCGGCCUGAGAGGGUGGACGGCCACAUUGGGACUGAGAUACGGCCCAGACUCCUACGGGAGGCAGCAGUGGGGAAUAUUGCACAAUGGGCGCAAGCCUGAUGCAGUGACGCCGCGUGGGGGAUGACGGCCUUCGGGUUGUAAACUCAUUUCGCUAGGGACGAAGCUUUUUGUGACGGUACCUAGAUAAGAAGCACCGGCUAACUACGUG